RNAcentral lists this long non-coding RNA (258 nucleotides) under Setaria viridis. RNAcentral describes it as "long non-coding RNA (SVIR_LNC001237)". Lineage: Eukaryota; Viridiplantae; Streptophyta; Magnoliopsida; Poales; Poaceae. The record is from RNAcentral.
GGCAAAAUAAUUAGGGCUAAGCUUAAUCCCAAUCCUGACUCGUGACUAAUUAUAAAACUGAAGUUUACGUGCACCAUUUCAUUACCACGAAAUGGUUUGAUAUGUCUUCAGGGAUGACGAUGAGGAUUAUAAAACUUAGUUGUUCAUCACAUAGUGGGAGCGUGCAUUGACUUACACUCAAUUCAUUCGGACCCGUUCAGUGCAAACGAUGGUAAAUUGAGGGAAGGAGCCAGGGUAAAAGAGACGUUUCACAUUGGU